AUCAACUGUUCAUUAAGUAGA
RNAcentral lists this non-coding RNA (21 nucleotides) under Arabidopsis thaliana (thale cress). Lineage: Eukaryota; Viridiplantae; Streptophyta; Magnoliopsida; Brassicales; Brassicaceae. The record is from RNAcentral.